GGGGUUGUGGCUCAGCGGUAGAGCUCCUGUCUAGCAAGCUCGAGGCCCUGGGUUCAAUCCUCAGCACCA
RNAcentral lists this transfer RNA (69 nucleotides) under Ictidomys tridecemlineatus (thirteen-lined ground squirrel). RNAcentral's name for it is "Spermophilus tridecemlineatus (thirteen-lined ground squirrel) tRNA". It matches the Rfam family "tRNA". Rfam says of the family: Transfer RNA (tRNA) molecules are approximately 80 nucleotides in length. Lineage: Eukaryota; Metazoa; Chordata; Mammalia; Rodentia; Sciuridae. The record is from Rfam by way of RNAcentral.